AAUAGAUACCCUGGUAGUCCACGCCGUAAACGAUGAGUGCUAGGUGUUGGUGGGGACACCCAUCAGUGCCGCAGCUAACGCAUUAAGCACUCCGCCGUGGGGAGUACGGUCGCAAGACUGAAACUCAAAGGAAUUGACGGGGACCCGCACAAGCAGCGGAGCAUGUGGUUUAAUUCGACGCAACGCGAAGAACCUUACCAGGGCUUGACAUCCCUCUGACAGAUCUAGAGAUAGGGCUUUCUCUUCGGAGACAGAGGUGACAGGUGGUGCAUGGUUGUCGUCAGCUCGUGUCGUGAGAUGUUGGGUUAAGUCCCGCAACGAGCGCAACCCUUGCCUUUAGUUGCCAUCAGGUAAAGCUGGGCACUCUAGAGGGACUGCCGGUGACAAACCGGAGGAAGGUGGGGAUGACGUCAAAUCAUCAUGCCCCUUAUGUCCUGGGCUACACACGUGCUACAAUGGUCGGUACAACGGGAAGCGAGACUGCGAAGUUAAGCAAAUCCCAAUAAGCCGAUCCCAGUUCGGAGUUG
This 527-nucleotide ribosomal RNA is filed under the name uncultured bacterium. RNAcentral describes it as "bacterial SSU rRNA". It matches the Rfam family "Bacterial small subunit ribosomal RNA", at positions 777 to 1301 of the family's 1533-position model. The record is from RNAcentral.